UCUGACCUAGACUCAUUUUUUAGGGCUUAAAAUCUGAAUCCUCAGUGAACCUGGGGAAGAAAGAACGAUGAAGUCCUCAAGAGUUUUACUGGUGAUCCUGUGGCUUCAGUUAACCUGGAUGAGGAGUCAACAGAAUAGAGUGGAGCAGAGUCCCGGAUCUCUGAGCCUUCGGGAGGGAGAUGCUGCCUCUCUCAAUUGCACUUACAGCGACAGUGCUUCCCAGUACUUCACGUGGUACAGACAGUAUUCCGGGAAGGGCCCUGAGUUGCUGAUGUACAUGUACUCCAAAGGUAACAAGACGGAAGGAAGAUUUUCGGGACAGGUUGAUAGAGCAAAACAAUAUGUCUCCCUGCUCAUCAGAGACUCCCAGCCCAGCGACUCAGCCACCUACCUCUGUGCAGUGAGCACACAGUAUUUCCCUGGCACCUGCUGUCCUCACCAGACACUAAGCCCCUCCUCCCUGCAGCUGGCUGACGUUAUGCAGAGAAGAAACCAUGACAAAAAGAGGCCAGAAGAGGAAGACUCCUUCUUACAGUUGUUGAAACUCAUCAAAGCCACGGACUUGCCCAGCCCCACCUCCCCACUCUUCCUGUAG
This is a non-coding RNA of Neogale vison (American mink), 595 nucleotides long. The record is from the annotation of a RefSeq genome assembly. NCBI's taxonomy places the organism in Eukaryota, Metazoa, Chordata, Mammalia, Carnivora, Mustelidae.